Molecule: ribosomal RNA, 313 nt
Filed under: uncultured low G+C Gram-positive bacterium 398ev
Lineage: Bacteria; Bacillati; Bacillota
Description: bacterial SSU rRNA
Rfam family: Bacterial small subunit ribosomal RNA
Source: RNAcentral
GAGUUUGAUCCUGGCUCAGGACGAACGCUGGCGGCGUGCCUAACACAUGCAAGUCGAGCGGAAGACUUCGGUCUUUAGCGGCGGACGGGUGAGUAACACGUGGGUAACCUGCCUCAAACAGGGGGAUAGCCUUCCGAAAGGAAGAUUAAUACCGCAUAAAAUAUGAAAGUCGCAUGGCUUUAAUAUUAAAGGAGUUAAAUCCGGUUUGAGAUGGACCCGCGGCGCAUUAGCUAGUUGGAGAGGUAACGGCUCACCAAGGCUUCGAUGCGUAGCCGACCUGAGAGGGUGAUCGGCCACAUUGGAACUGAGACAC